GUUAAUUGCUGGCCUGUAUGAAUGGCUAAACGAGGGCUCCACUGUCUCAAUAAUAAACCUAGUGAAAUUGAGAUGGCGGCGAAGACGCCGCCUAUGAAUUCUAAGACGAGAAGACCCCAUUGAGCUUUACUAUUAACUUGUAUUGCCAGAGCAAAGGGGAGGGGGACCCUACGGGUCUAGGGAAUACCCCGGAUCCGUUUUGCCCCCUGUCCCUAGCUUCAUAAUAAAAUUGUGGAGACUAUGUGGCAAAAGAAAAACAAGGGAUUUAAAAGAACGGGGGGGGGGAGGACCCUUAGGGUCCCCCCCCCGGGAUCCGAAGGGUCCGCCACGCCCCGUCCCGAUUUAUAUGAAAAACCACUCUUUUUAUUAAGAUUACUGUCUAACACCGUACAAGUAAGAUAGUUUGGUUGGGGCGACCGCCUUCGAAAAAGUAUCGAAGGCGCACAUAAGAUUAAUCAGGAGAAGGAUCCGAAGGAUCUUUUUCUCGGGGGCAAUGUCCCAAAAAAAGGAGAUUAAUUUGACUGAGAGGGCAACAACCCGAACAGACGUCAAAGGAUAGACCGGGGGGGGAAUCCUACAGAUUCCUUCCCCCCCUUCUUUUGGCGGGUCAUAGUGAUCCGUUGUUAUAUUGUGGG
RNAcentral lists this ribosomal RNA (635 nucleotides) under Placozoa sp. ME-2010. RNAcentral's name for it is "partial 16S ribosomal RNA". It matches the Rfam family "Bacterial large subunit ribosomal RNA", at positions 1975 to 2437 of the family's 2925-position model. Lineage: Eukaryota; Metazoa; Placozoa. The record is from RNAcentral.